CCUCUAGAGAUUAGUUUGAUCCUGGCUCAGAUUGAACGCUGGCGGCAUGCUUUACACAUGCAAGUCGAACGGUAACAGGUCUUCGGACGCUGACGAGUGGCGAACGGGUGAGUAAUACAUCGGAACGUGCCCAGUCGUGGGGGAUAACUACUCGAAAGAGUAGCUAAUACCGCAUACGAUCUGAGGAUGAAAGCGGGGGACCUUCGGGCCUCGCGCGAUUGGAGCGGCCGAUGGCAGAUUAGGUAGUUGGUGGGAUAAAAGCUUACCAAGCCGACGAUCUGUAGCUGGUCUGAGAGGACGACCAGCCACACUGGGACUGAGACACGGCCCAGACUCCUACGGGAGGCAGCAGUGGGGAAUUUUGGACAAUGGGCGAAAGCCUGAUCCAGCAAUGCCGCGUGCAGGAUGAAGGCCUUCGGGUUGUAAACUGCUUUUGUACGGAACGAAAAAGCUCCUUCUAAUACAGGGGGCCCAUGACGGUACCGUAAGAAUAAGCACCGGCUAACUACGUGCCAGCAGCCGCGGUAAUACGUAGGGUGCAAGCGUUAAUCGGAAUUACUGGGCGUAAAGCGUGCGCAGGCGGUUAUGUAAGACAGAUGUGAAAUCCCCGGGCUCAACCUGGGAACUGCAUUUGUGACUGCAUGGCUAGAGUACGGUAGAGGGGGAUGGAAUUCCGCGUGUAGCAGUGAAAUGCGUAGAUAUGCGGAGGAACACCGAUGGCGAAGGCAAUCCCCUGGACCUGUACUGACGC
Molecule: ribosomal RNA, 751 nt
Filed under: uncultured Delftia sp.
Lineage: Bacteria; Pseudomonadati; Pseudomonadota; Betaproteobacteria; Burkholderiales; Comamonadaceae
Description: bacterial SSU rRNA
Rfam family: Bacterial small subunit ribosomal RNA
Source: RNAcentral